UACAGAGGGGGCAAGCGUUAUUCGGAAUUAUUGGGCGUAAAGGGCGCGUAGGCGGCCUGGCAAGUGGAUGGUGAAAUCCCUCGGCUUAACCGAGGAACUGCCAUCCAGACUGCUUGGCUUGAGACCGGGAGAGGUGAGUGGAAUUCCCAGUGUAGCGGUGAAAUGCGUAGAUAUUGGGAGGAGCACCAGUGGCGAAGGCGGCUCACUGGACCGGUACUGACGCUGAUGCGCGAAAGCGUGGGGAGCAAACGGG
This 253-nucleotide ribosomal RNA is filed under the name uncultured bacterium. RNAcentral's name for it is "partial 16S ribosomal RNA". It matches the Rfam family "Bacterial small subunit ribosomal RNA", at positions 524 to 776 of the family's 1533-position model. The record is from RNAcentral.